GACGAACGCUGGCGGCGUGCUUAACACAUGCAAGUCGAACGGAAAGGCCCUGCUUUUGUGGGGUGCUCGAGUGGCGAACGGGUGAGUAACACGUGAGUAACCUGCCCUUGACUUUGGGAUAACUUCAGGAAACUGGGGCUAAUACCGGAUAGGAGCUCCUGCUGCAUGGUGGGGGUUGGAAAGUUUCGGCGGUUGGGGAUGGACUCGCGGCGUAUCAGCUUGUUGGUGGGGUAGUGGCUUACCAAGGCUUUGACGGGUAGCCGGGCUGAGAGGGUGACCGGCCACAUUGGGACUGAGAUGCGGCCCAGACUCCACCGGGAGGCAGCAGUGGAGAAUAGUGCACAAUGGGCGGAGGCCUGAUGCAGCAACGCCGCGUGCGGGAUGACGGCCAUCGGGUUGUAAUCCGCUUUCGCCUGUGACGAAGCGUGAGUGACGGUAAUGGGUAAAGAAGCACCGGCUAACUACGUG
Molecule: ribosomal RNA, 468 nt
Filed under: uncultured bacterium
Lineage: Bacteria
Description: partial 16S ribosomal RNA
Rfam family: Bacterial small subunit ribosomal RNA
Source: RNAcentral